RNAcentral lists this ribosomal RNA (397 nucleotides) under uncultured marine eukaryote. RNAcentral describes it as "SSU rRNA". It matches the Rfam family "Eukaryotic small subunit ribosomal RNA", at positions 615 to 1018 of the family's 1831-position model. The record is from RNAcentral.
GCAGUUAAAAAGCUCGUAGUUGGAUUUCGGAGUGGGCCAGUUGGUCCGCCGCAAGGUGUGUUACUGACUGGUUUGCUCUUCUGCGCAAAGACUGCGUGUGCUCUUUGUUGAGUGUGCGUAGGAUUUACGUCGUUUACUUUGAAAAAAUUAGAGUGUUCAAAGCAGGCUAUUGCUUGAAUACAUGAGCAUGGAAUAAUGGAAUAGGACUUUGGUCCCAUUUUGUUGGUUUCUAGGACCGAAGUAAUGAUUAAGAGGGACAAUUGGGGGCAUCCGUAUUUCGUUGUCAGAGGUGAAAUUCUUGGAUUUGCGAAAGACGAACAACUGCGAAAGCACUUGCCAAGAGUGUUUUCAUUAAUCAAGAACGAAAGUUAGUGGAUCGAAGACGAUCAGAUACCGU